AGUUGUUGCAGUUAAAACGUCCGUAGUCGAACUUACGCCUUGUUGGCUGGGCAGCUGGUCAUUCAUUUGGCUAGAUUUGCCUCAGUCCGGGUGACAAAGUUUGGGUAUGAUCAUGUUGGCUUCGGUCGGCGUGGUUCUCUGCCCAAGCGUUUUACCAUGAGCAAAUCAGAAUGCCAAAGUAGGCCUUCGUGCCUGAAUGUGUUAGCAUGGAAUAAUAAAAUAGGACCUUAGUCUUGUUUGGUUGGUAUACUAGACCUUAGGAAAUGAUGAAUAGGAACGGUUGGGGGCAUUUGUAUUUGGUCGCUAGAGGUGAAAUUCUUGGAUUGACCGAAGACAAACUACUGCGAAAGCAUUUGACCUAGGACGUUUCCAUUGAUCAGGGACUAAAGUUGAGGGAUCGAAGACGAUUAGAUACCGUCGUAGUCUUAACCACAAACUAUGCCGACUAGCGAUUGGAUCCUCGCCACUGGCAGGAUUCAGCAGCUUAGCGAAAGUAAAGUUUUUGGGUUCUGGGGGGAGUAUGGGACGCAAGGCUGAAACUUAAAGGAAUUGACGGAAGGGCACCACCAGGAGUGGAGCCUGCGGCUUAAUUUGACUCAACACGGGGAAACUCACCAGGUCCAGACAUAAUAAGGAUUGACAGAUUGAAAGCUCUUUCUAGAUUUUAUGGGUGGUGGUGCAUGGCGUUCUUAGUUCGUGGAGUGAUUUGUCUGGUUAAUUCCGAUAACGAACGAGACCUUAUUCUGCUAAUUAGCUGGGCCAACUUUUUAGUUGGUGGUUUCUAGCCUCCGGGCUAGCCAGCUUCUUAGAGAGACUACUGAAUACAAUUCAGGGGAAGUUUUAGGCAAUAA
This 851-nucleotide ribosomal RNA is filed under the name Cunninghamella echinulata. RNAcentral describes it as "SSU rRNA". It matches the Rfam family "Eukaryotic small subunit ribosomal RNA", at positions 608 to 1456 of the family's 1831-position model. The record is from RNAcentral. Lineage: Eukaryota; Fungi; Mucoromycota; Mucoromycetes; Mucorales; Cunninghamellaceae.